UGGGGAAUUUUGGACAAUGGGCGAAAGCCUGAUCCAGCAAUGCCGCGUGUGUGAAGAAGGCCUUCGGGUUGUAAAGCACUUUUGUCCGGAAAGAAAUCCUUGGCUCUAAUACAGUCGGGGGAUGACGGUACCGGAAGAAUAAGCACCGGCUAACUACGUGCCAGCAGCCGCGGUAAUACGUAGGGUGCAAGCGUUAAUCGGAAUUACUGGGCGUAAAGCGUGCGCAGGCGGUUUGCUAAGACCGAUGUGAAAUCCCCGGGCUCAACCUGGGAACUGCAUUGGUGACUGGCAGGCUAGAGUAUGGCAGAGGGGGGUAGAAUUCCACGUGUAGCAGUGAAAUGCGUAGAGAUGUGGAGGAAUACCGAUGGCGAAGGCAGCCCCCCUGGGCCAAUACUGACGCUCAUGCACGAAAGCGUGGGGAGCAAACAGGAUUAGAUACCCUGGUAGUCCACGCCCUAAACGAUGUCAACUAGUUGUUGGGGAUUCAUUUCCUUAGUAACGUAGCUAACGCGUGAAGUUGACCGCCU
This 527-nucleotide ribosomal RNA is filed under the name uncultured bacterium. RNAcentral describes it as "partial 16S ribosomal RNA". It matches the Rfam family "Bacterial small subunit ribosomal RNA", at positions 355 to 874 of the family's 1533-position model. The record is from RNAcentral.